Long non-coding RNA from Pseudophryne corroboree (corroboree frog), 614 nucleotides. RefSeq lists it as uncharacterized. The transcript has 4 exons. The record is from RefSeq and is a predicted model, not a curated record. Lineage: Eukaryota; Metazoa; Chordata; Amphibia; Anura; Myobatrachidae.
AACUGUGCCGCGGCGUCCUCUUGUUAUGAUCGCAUCCCCCUGCUGACUCAAAUCGCUGCCUGAAUACCGCCGCCGGGUCCGUACUGGCGGUUCCUGACAGUCUCCUCAGCCAGGAUGCCGGUCGCUGUACGUCACUCCUCAUGACGUCAUCUUGCGCGCCGGCACCGCUUGCAGCUUGCCAUUCUCCUCACUGCCGCCGGCCACGUUCUGCACACCGCAGCCCACUUCCUCCGCUGCCUAGGGCCGCCUACUACACCCCCCUCCGCUGCUCAGCCUGAAGACUCACUAAAUGCAAUGAAGACAUUAAAGAAGAAUUUGACGCAACUGCCUUGGAAGAAAAACAUCUAUAGAUGUGUCCUAAUUCAUUGUGGCUUCAGACACGCUAGAUACUGGGUGACUCAACGGUGCUAAUCUUAUUAUUAGCUCAAAAAGCGCAACGGAGAAUGCUGAGCUAUUUUGAGGGUGUCAACUUGGUGCCUCACGACAGAUUGAACCAGCUCAACAUUGCGAAUGUUACUUCUGACCACAUAAGAUGAUUCGUAUGCGAAAUAUCUGAAAAAAACAUAGAAAAGUGGUGCUAGAGUUGACAAUACUGUGAACAGUAAAUAAAAAAA